RNAcentral lists this ribosomal RNA (429 nucleotides) under Actinomycetes bacterium. RNAcentral describes it as "Actinobacteria bacterium partial 16S ribosomal RNA". It matches the Rfam family "Bacterial small subunit ribosomal RNA", at positions 355 to 776 of the family's 1533-position model. The record is from RNAcentral. Lineage: Bacteria; Bacillati; Actinomycetota; Actinomycetes.
UAGGGAAUCUUCCGCAAUGGGCGAAAGCCUGACGGAGCAACGCCGCGUGAGUGAAGAAGGUCUUCGGAUCGUAAAACUCUGUUAUUAGGGAAGAACACAUGUGUAAGUAACUAUGCACGUCUUGACGGUACCUAAUCAGAAAGCCACGGCUAACUACGUGCCAGCAGCCGCGGUAAUACGUAGGUGGCAAGCGUUAUCCGGAAUUAUUGGGCGUAAAGCGCGCGUAGGCGGUUUUUUAAGUCUGAUGUGAAAGCCCACGGCUCAACCGUGGAGGGUCAUUGGAAACUGGUAAACUGGAGUGCGGAGGAGGAAAGUGGAAUUCCAUGGGUAGCGGUGAAAUGCGCAGAGAUAUGGAGGAACACCAGUGGCGAAGGCGACUUUCUGGUCUGUAACUGACGCUGAUGUGCGAAGGCGUGGGGGUCAAACAGG